UGAGGAGUAUUGGUCACGAGGAGUAUUUUGCAAAAAGAAUGGACCAAAUUGGAGCUUUGUAUCAAAAGUUAUGUCACUUUGAACUUCCAUGCACACCUUGUGAUCAUUUGGCUAUAACUUCUCAACCAAUCAUCAUAUGAUCAUGAAAUAGGACGUUUUGGAAAGGGGAGACAAAGAUCUACAACUUUCAUGUUCACUAAAAAUCC
RNAcentral lists this long non-coding RNA (206 nucleotides) under Lathyrus oleraceus (garden pea). RNAcentral's name for it is "Pisum sativum (pea) long non-coding RNA (PSAT_LNC017706)". Lineage: Eukaryota; Viridiplantae; Streptophyta; Magnoliopsida; Fabales; Fabaceae. The record is from RNAcentral.